Molecule: long non-coding RNA, 1210 nt
Filed under: Piliocolobus tephrosceles (Ugandan red Colobus)
Lineage: Eukaryota; Metazoa; Chordata; Mammalia; Primates; Cercopithecidae
Description: lncRNA (ENSPTEG00000009172.1)
Source: RNAcentral
AUGUCAAGCACUGUCUUUAUUAUAAUACAUUUCCAAGAAUCUAUAAGAAGUCUGCUCUACCUUGCAGGUUUGGCUAUCCGUCCCAAGCACUGGACCACAAAAAUAUGGAGAUGGACCAAAAUUUGGCGUGCAGGAAAUAAAGGUAGUCUCAGAAGAAAAAAGAAAACACACACAAAAAAAAGAAAAGAAAAAUCAUGCGUAUUCUGGUAAAGUCACUGGACCAGAUUUUGCUAAGGAAAAUCUAGAUGAUAUGCCUGAGGGGUCUUUCUUUCUGACUUUAGUCUAGAGAGCCACCCUGACUCUAGUUUUCUGAGGGGAAUGAGGAUUGGUGGUGUGACAGGAAAAAAAAUAUUUUCUAGGCACAGCACUAUGUUCAUGUUUUGACAAGCAGUUGUGUUCCCUCUCGAUGCCAUGUUUGUGUGCAUGGACAGUGGGGUGUGUCUAUAUGUGAAUUUAAGUGGUGUGAUUGUGUGCAUGUCUGUGUUUCCCCUAGAGUUAUAUCUCCCUUACACAGCAAACCUGCAAGUGUCAGCUUUCUCCAUUAAUAAUCCCUUCACCAUUGCUCCCUUGGGCAUAUCUGUCUUCUAGCUGGGUGUACUACAAUUCAGUUCUGAUGAUCACCACACAGACUGUAUCUGAUCCCACAAGUCCAGGACAAAACCUUCCACCUGACUGCCCUUACUUGAGAUACCAGCUGCACUUUACGGAUGUGCAGGCCACUGUGAAUUCAGAGAUUACCAACACUGCCACCCUAAGACUCAAUAAUUCACUAGAAAUACCUCACAGAACUUAGGAAAACACUACAUUUACUAUUCGCUUAUAAAGGACACACCUAGGGCAAGGUGUAUGGGGGGAAGGUGGCGGGGAGCAGGGUCCUAGAAGCAUAGCUUCCACGCCCUUUCUCCUGGGAGUCACAGGGUGUCUUCCCUUCAGCCCAUCAAUUGUUCACAAACCUGGGAGUUCCACUGAGCUUUGGUGUUCAGGGUUUUUAUUGGACUUUCAUUGUAAGUAGACAUGAUUGAUUAAAGACUUGGCUAUAUGACUGAAGUCAGUCUCUAGUCCCCACCCCCACCUUCCUGGAGGUUGGUUGGCCCAAACAACCCUCUCAUAACGUGGUUGGUCUUUCACUCUCAUCCAUAAGCUGUCCAGGGCCCACACUGAGCCCCCUCAUUGGCAUAACAAAGGCAAUCUUAUGCAGGAAAUUUCAAGG